UCAGAGUGAACGCUGGCGGCGUGCCUAAUACAUGCAAGUCGAACGAUGAAGCUUCUAGCUUGCUAGAAGUGGAUUAGUGGCGCACGGGUGAGUAACGCAUAGGUUAUGUGCCCUUUAGUCUGGGAUAGCCACUGGAAACGGUGAUUAAUACUGGAUACUCCUUACGAGGGAAAGGGACUCUCAAAUAAAAAUUCAGUUUGUGGCGGCUUUUUAAGGAGUGAGAACAUUGCUUCACUGCGGCGUAUAUUUAAUACGCCUCAUUCGCAAUAACCUCACAACCUUAAAAUUCACACACAACCUUAGAAUUUUUCAAUGCUUUGUAGAUUUUGUAGGAUUCUAGGGUUUUAGAUGAGAAAUACUUGUUGUGCAGGAAAAAUCGUAGCGUAGCAUACUCCUUGUAUGUGAGCGAGAUUUUUACAAACUCAAGUAUUUAUCGCUAAAAACCGAAUUCUUAUUUGAGAGUCUCCGCUAAAGGAUCAGCCUAUGUCCUAUCAGCUUGUUGGUGAGGUAAUGGCCCACCAAGGCUAUGACGGGUAUCCGGCCUGAGAGGGUGAUCGGACACACUGGAACUGAGACACGGUCCAGACUCCUACGGGAGGCAGCAGUAGGGAAUAUUGCUCAAUGGGGGAAACCCUGAAGCAGCAACGCCGCGUGGAGGAUGAAGGUUUUAGGAUUGUAAACUCCUUUUGUGAGAGAAGAUAAUGACGGUAUCUCACGAAUAAGCACCGGCUAACUCCGUGCCAGCAGCCGCGGUAAUACGGAGGGUGCAAGCGUUACUCGGAAUCACUGGGCGUAAAGAGUGCGCAGGCGGGCUUGUAAGUCAGAUGUGAAAUCCUGUAGCUUAACUACAGAACUGCAUUUGAAACUAUGAGUCUAGAGUGUGGGAGAGGUAGGUGGAAUUCUUGGUGUAGGGGUAAAAUCCGUAGAUAUCAAGAGGAAUACUCAUUGCGAAGGCGACCUACUGGAACAUUACUGACGCUCAUGCACGAAAGCGUGGGGAGCAAACAGGAUUAGAUACCCUGGUAGUCCACGCCCUAAACGAUGAAUGCUAGUUGUUGUGGAGCUUGUCUCUGCAGUAAUGCAGCUAACGCAUUAAGCAUUCCGCCUGGGGAGUACGGUCGCAAGAUUAAAACUCAAAGGAAUAGACGGGGACCCGCACAAGCGGUGGAGCAUGUGGUUUAAUUCGAAGAUACGCGAAGAACCUUACCUAGGCUUGACAUUGAUAGAAUUUGCUAGAGAUAGCGGAGUGCCCUUUUAGGGAGCUUGAAAACAGGUGCUGCACGGCUGUCGUCAGCUCGUGUCGUGAGAUGUUGGGUUAAGUCCCGCAACGAGCGCAACCCUCGUCCUUAGUUGCUAGCAGUUCGGCUGAGCACUCUAAGGAGACUGCCUUCGUAAGGAGGAGGAAGGUGAGGACGACGUCAAGUCAUCAUGGCCCUUACGCCUAGGGCUACACACGUGCUACAAUGGGGUGCACAAAGAGACGCAAUACUGCGAAGUGGAGCAAAUCUCUAAAACAUCUCUCAGUUCGGAUUGUAGUCUGCAACUCGACUACAUGAAGCUGGAAUCGCUAGUAAUCGCAAAUCAGCCAUGUUGCGGUGAAUACGUUCCCGGGUCUUGUACUCACCGCCCGUCACACCAUGGGAGUUGUAUUCGCCUUAAGUCGGAAUACUAAAUUGGUUACCGCCCACGGCGGAUGCAGCGACUGGGGUG
RNAcentral lists this ribosomal RNA (1710 nucleotides) under Helicobacter mastomyrinus. Its description in RNAcentral is "bacterial SSU rRNA". It matches the Rfam family "Bacterial small subunit ribosomal RNA". The record is from RNAcentral. Lineage: Bacteria; Pseudomonadati; Campylobacterota; Epsilonproteobacteria; Campylobacterales; Helicobacteraceae.